AUGUCUUCCAUAGUCAUCCUCAGUGUAAGGCACCUGAUGCUCUUCCUCCUCAGUCAAACACCAUGGUUCUGUUUUCACUGAGUACUGUGCAUCCCGGAUGUCGACAACAUUAAAAUCAUCUGCACUGUUUCCCUCCCCCUUUUAUUUUCACGUUUACAGGGGAGAUGAUGUUCCUCUAACAAAACACACUGUGUCUCAGGAUGAGGGACACUUAACCAAACUGAGUGCUUCAGUCUGCAAAAGAACAGAUGAAAUGGUCCCUACUGCGAUAAGAGUUGUCUGCCGUUACAUUUGCACCAUCACUUCCUCAUCUGAUGAUAUUCCUCUUCCUAUCCCUGUGUGUCCCAGAGAUUAUUGUACUGAAGUCUGAUUGAGCCACCAAUCAGAACCACCACUGUGGCCUUUCUAUCCUCCAUUUCCUGUGUCUCAUCGCCCAGGCAACAGUGAAGACUUAAUUUAUCUGUUUCCAUAAAUGGACACAUCCUUACUGUCUCUGGCUAGAGGUGAUCCCAACCUUUUCUAUUACAUGGUGUAGUAGCUGUUAGCCAUUUUAAUUGUUUAUAUAUAGCAUUCAAUGGAUGUGACAGAUUUGAUUUGAGGAUGCAUAUGUUGUGUUGCAGUUGAGAGGAAUUAUAACGCCACCUUUUGGGAAACAAAGGAACUACAGUGCACAUGUCAAA
This is a long non-coding RNA of Oncorhynchus tshawytscha (Chinook salmon), 680 nucleotides long. Lineage: Eukaryota; Metazoa; Chordata; Actinopteri; Salmoniformes; Salmonidae. The record is from Ensembl.